This is a long non-coding RNA of Panicum virgatum (switchgrass), 1104 nucleotides long. RefSeq lists it as uncharacterized. The transcript is spliced from 4 exons. Lineage: Eukaryota; Viridiplantae; Streptophyta; Magnoliopsida; Poales; Poaceae. The record is from RefSeq and is a predicted model, not a curated record.
CCUCCACCUCGCACUGCAGCUCGCUCCCCCAUCCCCUCACCACCGCCAUGCCCGUGGUAGGCUUCAAGUCGGUGGCGGUGGCGGCGUCGCGGGUCGCGGCAGGUGGCGGCGUUGAGGCGGCGGCCGGGAGGAAGGCGCACCGCUGCGCGGCGGUCCGGGCGUCAUUGUUCUCGCCCAGGCCAGCGGCAGCCAAGGACGCGCGGUCGGCCUGGUGCAGGAGCUCUACGCGCCGCUCCUCCUCGCCGCGCGCCGCCACCACCGCUGCAGUUCCUCCUCCCCGCCGCGGCCGCCGUGGAUCUGCGUCGCCGCCGCCACCACCUCCUCCUCCUAAUCCCCGUCACCGCCACCUCCUCCGCCGCCGCCUCGGCCCGCCUUCAUCCUGCUCCUCUGACUCCCAACUGCACGCUCCUUGCGCCCUGCGGUUGAGCCCUGCUCCUUCAACUACGGCUCUCCACAUACCGCUCCCUGCUUCUCCGGCACCCGGCCAUGGGGUCUGCCGGGCAGUCAGGCACCAGAUCCGGGCAUCUGCGUUGUUUUCUCAUAAUGAUGCCAGUAGGGCAUCUGUCUUUUGCAAUCACCUCGAAGUCCUAUUGUGCUUCUCAGGAUGUGUCAUUAGCAUGGAAAAUAGGUCAUGCUGUCGUGCAGAAGGCUAAAUUGGAGAGCCUUUAGAAGAAGCUAUCAUAUUGUGCAUCUUGAAGCCCCUAAAUUGGAGAGCCUGUAGAUGCAGAUGCUGCACAGACCAGUGGCGUGCAACAUGGUGAUGCGUGCGGAGAUGCAAUCGGUAGCAGAAAGAAAAGCUGCUUACUCAGCUGAUUGUGCGAAACCAGAAGGUUGACAAUUUGAUUGCAAUGUUUCAAAACAGCCCAGACUCUACUUUUAGGAUGAAAUGGUAGAAGGAACAAACAGUGAGAAGAGAUUGGAAAUUUGAAGGCAAAUGAUGGAAUAUUUGAUGUUUUUGUUUCUAGUGUUGCUUUUGAUGCAAGAUGAAUGUAACUUGCAUGUAAAUUUUGAGGUGCUUCUCAAUGUAAAUCAUACGAUAUUGUAUUUGAUUUGAUGCUGUGGUAAAUGGUCUUACAAUUUUGGUAUAUAUAUUCUGGGCUGUAA